UGUCAUAAUGAAUAUCAUAAUAAGUCUUUUCAUAGUUUUUUUAACGCAUGCAAAUGUUAUAGUAGCAAUGGAAUUAAUAGAAUUGCACUGUAAUUUUUCAAAAUAUAUGUUUAAUUAUUUUAAGUAUGGUGAAAAAUAUUUAUAUCAAUUUGAAAAUACGAUUUCUGAACUUGAACUAAGAAAAUAUGGAUUAGCAAUCAAAUCUCACGAUGAAAUCAUAAUGAUCAUGUUAGAUGCGUUGCGGGAAUUAGAUGUGAACUACUGGGCAGAAGAUUUAAUAGCUAUAAAUUUAUACUUAAACAAUGUUUCGGGAUCUUUAAAUAUGAUCGCUAAAAAUGAAAAUGGCCAAUUCAGUAGAUCUGAAAGCUCUAAGAAUUUACUUGAAGGCUAUAAAAUAAUUCAUCAAUCAAUUGUUGAACGAUUGCAAUACUUUGUUAAUAACCAAUGUUCAGAUGUAUCGCUUGAAAAUGAUUUCAUAUCAUAUACUGAUUUUAAUCUACCGUGUAAUUACAUGCCAGAUGUGUUGCUUAAUAUCUUGGGAAACCUAAAAAACCGAUUAUUUAUUGUUAUGAAAGAAUAUUUAUUAUGGUACGUUGUUAAAUAUGAUGAUAUAUUAAACAGUUACACUGAUAUUGUGAAACAUUUAGCAUUGUCUUUUCAAAGGAAAUCAUAUAAUUAUUUUAAUCCUAAAAAUUUCUUAUUUUAUGAUUUAAUGGAAACUCGAUCUAAUUUUUGCGAGCUAGAAUUAUCGUCAGGUUCUCAGGCAAAACAAAAAGCCAUGUAUGAUGAAAAAAAAAAUCUGAAAGAUGUAUUAGACAUGAUGAGAUAUAGUAAAAUUAAAAAAAGAAGUAGUAAGAAUUAUAAUAUAAAAUUGUUUGAUAUUUUCCGGUUUAUCAAGUUUGAUUUUGACCCGAAAAACAUGCAAGUAUAUCAUGAAUUAAUAAAUGCAGCAACAGUUCGUCCUAUUAUAAUGAUUAUACGAUAUUAUUUUGAUUUAGUUAAAUACUACAUAUCAAUAAAAAAAUUUCGUGAUCCAAACAUCGAAUAUAACAUGAAACUGAAAAUUAUUAAAUUGGGCGAAGAUAUUAUUGAUACUUUUAAAUCUUUUUUGGAUUUGAAUUUAUUUAGAGAUUUAUUUAGAAAAUGUUUAGACGGUUUUUAUGAUAAGAUAUUCUAUAUAAUAUCAAUGUACAAAGAAAAAAAUAAUUUAUUUUUAACUAAAGACAUUAGAACAUUAACAUGUAUUUUGUACAAAUGUAUACAAGGUAGAUUUUUAAAUUGUUACUUAAAUAAAAAAAAAAGAAACAAUGACGAUCACGAAUAUAAUGUAAAGAAAGAUUAUAAAUUAUUAGUUGAUCGUAUACAUGAAAUUUCCUUGUACAUUAUAACAUUGAAAACAUAUCAGUAUUGUUUUCAGACUGUAUAUAGAUACAUUCCUAAGGGACACAUAGAUUGGCACACAUUUAAAAUUACUUUCAAGCAUAACAUUCCAUUUAAACAAUUAGGAUAUUAUGAAGAUAUUUAUCGUUCACUUUAUUUUCAUGGUGAUAAUACCAAUGAUGAUGUAAGCUAUUGCAAUCAAAGCUCAAGUGAAGAAAAUGAUUGCGAUGAAGAACUUAGUGAUGAUAAUAAGGAUGUAGAAAUAAAAAAUCAAACAUUUAAAUCCCCUAUAUAUUUUGUAGAUUAUUUACUUUUUGCAUAAUAUAUUAUAUAUGUACAGAAUAUUCAGUAAGUAAAGAAACAGUUCAAUUGUUUUAAACAAUGAGAACAAUAUUUCCUUAUUUACUGAACACUAUGUAUCUUUUCUUCUAUAAGGAAUUUUGUUUCUUUCUAAUAAGUUUAUCUGUCCAAUUAUUCUAAAAGACACAAAGAAAUCAGAUUAAUAAUACAUGAAUAUCGCGGGUAAUUUGCACGGAGACGAUAGAAGGUCAACUAACUCGCAUUACCAUCCAUACGGAUGACAAAACGGUCGAUCACCAGUAUAGCAACGAUAAGCUGACCCUUCUACUAUAUAAACUGUAUAUGUCACUAGUGACUUGUUAUUAUAAGGAAUACUAAUAUAUUAAGGUAAUCUAGCUGUCUCCUAUAUAAAAAAUCAAGUAAUAAAAACAGAAAUCAAGUCAGUAAAUGGUUUUCUUACCUUAGUUCAAUGUAAGACCGAUUGAGGUCCUUUUCCGGGGAGCCUGUUAACGCGUGACCAUGUCAAGAAUGAAGGUAAUUGAACACAAUAUAGCCAAUGCCCUAUGUAUAAACUCGAUAUAACGUGUUUAUUGUCAAUUUAGUAUCCGAGGACUAUUGCACAAUACGUACAGGAAAUUAAUAAAAAACUAAAAGAAAAACAGUUACAUUGAUGAAGCAAUAGUCGAUGAUCGUGAUGGUUGAUGUUAAUGUUAUCAACUGUUCAGUCGUUGUUAUGAGUCGAUGCAUACAGCAAAAUAUUGGUAUAUAGUGUGAGGUGUGACGAAGAUGACUUCAACGUAUGUUUGCGGCGGGCCAUUGUCGGACUUAAGGCACUUGCUGGAUUUUAUACCAUGGCGUAUGGCACGCAGUGUUAGUCAGUUAAACUAUCAUAUAUACGUAUUAUGGUGACGACUGUAAAAUGUGGCACUGGUCGCGGGGUUUUCGUGUAACGCAAAGUGAUACAGAACCAUGUGAAGCAGUUUUAAAAUAUAGAAAAAAAAAAAUAGAAAUUGUUAUUUUUCACUGUAGUUUAAUUUUCAAAAAUGUAUUCAGUCAAAUAAUAGCUCAAAUAAUUAUA
Molecule: RNA transcript, 2758 nt
Organism: Daktulosphaira vitifoliae (grape phylloxera)
Lineage: Eukaryota; Metazoa; Arthropoda; Insecta; Hemiptera; Phylloxeridae
Exons: 3
Source: RefSeq, a predicted model, not a curated record